This 87-nucleotide transfer RNA is filed under the name compost metagenome. RNAcentral's name for it is "tRNA-Tyr". It matches the Rfam family "tRNA". From Rfam's summary of the family: Transfer RNA (tRNA) molecules are approximately 80 nucleotides in length. Their secondary structure includes four short double-helical elements and three loops (D, anti-codon, and T loops). The record is from RNAcentral.
GAGUAGGUGUGCCGAGAGGCGAAGGCGGCGGACUGUAAAUCCGCUACGUAAGAUACACCGGGGGUUCGACUCCCUCUCUACUCACCA